AUCCUCUGACAUGCCCAAGCUAGAAGCCUCGACAGUGCUCGCUAAAUCAGAAGAGGGACGACAAAACGCACGACAAAAACUACAAAAAUGUUUAGAGGGAUCCUUCUCAGCCUCUCACUCUCGCUGAAUUUAUGGUUCUGUGAGGUAGCAUUAACAACUCAGCAAGAAGCACCAUAUAUUAUUAUGGAUGAAACCAACAUCAACCCUGAGGUUGCAAAACUUCUAGGCAGAAUUAAAUAUGUUGCUCGAAGCUGCAAAGAAAUUCGUGAGAAGUAUCAUGUUCA
Molecule: long non-coding RNA, 284 nt
Organism: Sinocyclocheilus anshuiensis
Lineage: Eukaryota; Metazoa; Chordata; Actinopteri; Cypriniformes; Cyprinidae
Exons: 3
Source: RefSeq, a predicted model, not a curated record